This is a long non-coding RNA of Choloepus didactylus (southern two-toed sloth), 933 nucleotides long. RefSeq lists it as uncharacterized. The record is from RefSeq and is a predicted model, not a curated record. The transcript is spliced from 4 exons. Lineage: Eukaryota; Metazoa; Chordata; Mammalia; Pilosa; Megalonychidae.
AAUGGAUGCCCUCGAGCUGACAAGCACUGUGUCACAGUCACAAGCUCUAAGGUUGUUGUCUUAGAGUGGGAGCCUCGAGCUGAUUUACAUUCCUUCGUGGUCGCCUCUGUGUUUGGAGGAUGGAGACGAUAUGGACCCACCAGCUGACUUGAGCUUCCUCCUUGUUCCUGAGCUGAUUGGGCGCCUCUAAGCAUUAGGAGCAGAGAGAUCAAAUAUGAAUGAAGAGAAAGCGGACCGACCCUGGACCGAUGGUGACGACUGGUGACAUAGCAGUUGUUGAUGACGAAUGACACAUCUGGAACUCCGUGAUCCAACCCGAAACGGAAUCGAGUCGAUCCCUCUGUUGGUAAUGAUCCUAUGGAGUGAUGUCCCCAUAUACAGGGAUCCUUUUCUUGUUAUUUGCAGUUACGGAUUUUGAUUCUAUUAUUAUAAAUGGAUCAAUGAAAUAAUCAAGUGAACAUUUUUAAAAAAUAAAAAUGCAGAGAGGGAUGCAUUUUCCAUUCAUGAAAAAGUGAGUGAAGGAAGAAAUAUCAUUUAUAUAUAUAAUUUAUCUUUUUAAUACUGAAUUUAAUGAAGGAAUGAAUGUUUACAGAAUAUUCCCUCUGUGGGUAAAGAUGAUAGAGAUCAUAUAAUUAAGAAUCAAUAUUCUGGUUCCUUGUCAGCGGCAAGUUGGAUGUUCAUAUUCUUAAGAGAUAAUGAUGUUAGUAUGACUUAUUACUUAUUGUACUUACUAAUCCCUAAUUGAUUGACUAUGUUAAAUGGGGAAAGCAAGGGCCAGUGAGUAGAUGGUCUCAAUCUCUGCAUCAUCUGCUCUGCUUCUCCUCCUAAUGGACUCACCCAGUUGAUUUACUCAUGAUGCAUGCUCACCUGCUCUACAGUUACUUCUGUGCCUUAGGAGUGUAGAGACUAGUGUGAAUAAUAAAGUUCUUGUCU